This 492-nucleotide ribosomal RNA is filed under the name uncultured bacterium. RNAcentral's name for it is "partial 16S ribosomal RNA". It matches the Rfam family "Bacterial small subunit ribosomal RNA", at positions 29 to 507 of the family's 1533-position model. The record is from RNAcentral.
AGUGAACGCUGGCGGUAGGCCUAACACAUGCAAGUCGAACGGCAGCACAGUAAGAGCUUGCUCUUACGGGUGGCGAGUGGCGGACGGGUGAGGAAUACAUCGGAAUCUACUUUUUCGUGGGGGAUAACGUAGGGAAACUUACGCUAAUACCGCAUACGACCUACGGGUGAAAGCAGGGGAUCUUCGGACCUUGCGCGAUUGAAUGAGCCGAUGUCGGAUUAGCUAGUUGGCGGGGUAAAGGCCCACCAAGGCGACGAUCCGUAGCUGGUCUGAGAGGAUGAUCAGCCACACUGGAACUGAGACACGGUCCAGACUCCUACGGGAGGCAGCAGUGGGGAAUAUUGGACAAUGGGCGAAAGCCUGAUCCAGCCAUACCGCGUGGGUGAAGAAGGCUUUCGGGUUGUAAAGCCCUUUUGUUGGGAAAGAAAAGCAGCAGGUGAAUACCCCGCUGUUCUGACGGUACCCAAAGAAUAAGCACCGGCUAACUUCGUG